RNAcentral lists this ribosomal RNA (433 nucleotides) under uncultured bacterium. RNAcentral's name for it is "partial 16S ribosomal RNA". It matches the Rfam family "Bacterial small subunit ribosomal RNA", at positions 29 to 507 of the family's 1533-position model. The record is from RNAcentral.
AACGAACGCUGGCGGCAUGCCUAACACAUGCAAGUCGAACGAGACCUUCGGGUCUAGUGGCGCACGGGUGCGUAACGCGUGGGAACCUGCCCUUAGGCUCGGAAUAACUCCCCGAAAGGGGUGCUAAUACCGGAUAAUGUCUUCGGACCAAAGAUUUAUCGCCUUUGGAUGGGCCCGCGUUGGAUUAGCUAGUUGGUAGGGUAAAAGCCUACCAAGGCGACGAUCCAUAGCUGGUCUGAGAGGAUGAUCAGCCACACUGGGACUGAGACACGGCCCAGACUCAUACGGGAGGCAGCAGUGGGGAAUAUUGGAAAAUGGGCGAAAGCCUGAUCCAGCAAUGCCGCGUGAGUGAUGAAGGCCUUAGGGUUGUAAAGCUCUUUUACCCGGGAUGAUAAUGACAGUACCGGGAGAAUAAGCGCCGGCUAACUCCGUG